This is a long non-coding RNA of Gasterosteus aculeatus aculeatus (three-spined stickleback), 2325 nucleotides long. The record is from Ensembl. NCBI's taxonomy places the organism in Eukaryota, Metazoa, Chordata, Actinopteri, Perciformes, Gasterosteidae.
AGGGCUGUGUGUCCUUCACUAUCAUGGAGACGAGGGCUUCAUCCAGCUCUUGUUUUCUGGUGGCUGGAUAAGAGAGAAUAAAUACAGUGUCUGUUACCUGUCUUUAUUUGCACAAUAAACAGUGAACAGGGACAAAUUGUGAUGGUACAAUUGUAAUAUUGUAAUGACUUAACUUGGCUGGGUGAAGCUCCAGUUUCCUCCUUAUUCUCAUCGAAAGCGCGGUGAUGCCUUAGCACGGAUGAGGUGUUGUUAUUGUACUCCAACUCCUUGGAGCAGUUCUUGAUGAGCAAACUUAAUGUGUUUGAAAUGGAGUUAGAUUUAGCUUACCUUAUUAGGAGUCAUCGAGUGUUCCCACACAGGGGAAAUCCUCCUCUUCCUAGCUGGCUCGACCAUAUCACCGAUCCUUCCCUCCUCACUUUCCUAAUUCUCCAAACUAUCUCUCUCCCUCUCUAACCUCUCCAAACUAUCUCUCUCCCUCUAACUUCUCCAAACUAUAUAAAGGCUAUCCAAACUCUCAACUCCACCAACAACCCACAUUUUGAAUGGAGCCUGAGGGGUUUAUAUUGCCGUCAAACGUCCCCUAACGUCCCCUCAAAUAAGCCAAUCUACAAUUUGCUAUAGAUAAGUAGCGUUACAAGUACAAUUUAAGCGCUACAGUUUGUUAGUCCUUUAGUUGAGGUAGAGUCUGAAGAGGUGUGUCUUUAGUUUGCGGCGGAAGACGUGAAGGCUUUCUGCGGUCCUGGUGUCUUCAGAGAGCUCGUUCCACCAUUUCGGAGCAAGGACAGCAAAGAGUCGUGAUCUAGUCAAGUGUUUUGCACUCAGUGAGGGAGGGACAAGCAGUUUAUCAGAUGCAGAGCGGAGAGUGCGGGUCGGGAUGUGGGGUUUGACCAUGUCCUAGAUGUAAGCUGGACCGGUAGCCAGUGAAGAGAGCGGAGGAGUGGAGUAUUGUGGGAGAAUUAAGGAAGGUUAAAGACCAGUCAAGCUGCUGCAUUCUGAAUGAGCUGCAGAGGUCGAAUCGCGAUAGCGGGGAGAACUGCCAGGAGUUACGAUGGUCCAGGUGGGAGAUGACAAGAGCCUGAAUCAGUGCCUGUGUAGCAGUAGGAGUAGACUCCUAAUCACCGUAUGCCCGCGGGACCAAUCAGAGGGCAGGGACCGGUAUAAACAAACCACAGUAGUCUCCUCCCUCCUAUCGCCCUCUUGGCCAGGUGACGGAACAGUGUCAGUCUUCUGCGUCAUUCACCCGGCAUGGUUGUUCGGCGCUGCUACAGGUAAGGUUGUGAACUGGCUGUCUCCGCGCACUUUAUCUCGCUAAUGCCGUCAGCUGCCUUUUAUAUCUCGUAUGUGAUCCCCAUAGAUCCCCGGCUGUCGAAACCGCGUAGCUCCCUAACAUAGAGCGACCGCCACGAAGCUUGCCGAGCGGCGUGAUCGCCCGAGCUGUCUCCUUCACGGCGACGUCAGUAACUUGUUUAAUUGGGAUUGUACCGGAGGAUCUUGGCCACCGUUAGCAGUCCAACUAGCUGCUGUUUUGCCUAUACGCCUUCUACCUCGGUUUGCGUACAUGUGUUUUUUUGUACUGCGUUGCCUCAAUUGUUUUGGGCCGGACCGCCUACACCGUUGUGCUCGGACGGCUUUACCCGGAUGAACAAUUUUAGCGUGACGUUCGAUCUUUCCCUUCCCCUUGACUUAUUGGGUCGAUGGAGUUAUCUUGUUUUCUUUAUUGUUUAGUUUGUUCUGUAUUUUUGUUUCUUUAUAACCGGGUGAGUGAACCCGGUUGUAUGUACGCGUGUUUAACGUUUUGUUUCUUUAUUCUUUCUAGAGCUGAACGCCGAAGGUGGUGGUGUGGUGUCCCGGUGGUGGUAUCCCUUUACUCGUUUGCUGUGGUCUUUCGUUUUCAUUUAUUUUGCUGUGCUCACUAUUUUGUUUUUGUGUUCACGGGUGUCUUCUCCUGAAACCUCCCCCGCUGCCCUCGUGUCCCCUCCACAACCACUGAGCCCUGACCUAAACCCAAUUGAGCAUGUCUGGAGAGACCUGAAAAUUGCGGUCCACCAACCUUUACCAUCCAACCGGAACUGGAGAGGAUCUCCAAAUCCAGAUGGGGUUCUGAGUGUACAUUAAUGCCCAUAGACUACCCAUAGUGACUCUCUCUACCAACAAACUCCUGGAACAAUGAGUGCCUACAGUUGUCAUUUAGGCAGGCUCCAAAGGUGACCCGCCACCACCCCUGACACCUCCAAUCUACACCCGAAUCUGGCAUAGCAGAAGAGUUAUGCAACUUGGGUUUUUCCACCACCACCACCAGUGUCUGGACUUCCAAAGGGGGGGGGG